This is a non-coding RNA of Triticum aestivum (bread wheat), 126 nucleotides long. The record is from Rfam. NCBI's taxonomy places the organism in Eukaryota, Viridiplantae, Streptophyta, Magnoliopsida, Poales, Poaceae.
CUCGUACUCCCUCUAUCCCGAAAUACUUGUUGAAGAAAUGAAUAAAAUUAGAUAUAUCUAUAACUAAAAUACGUCUAGAUUCAUCCAUUUUCUCCAACAAGUAUUUUCGGACGGAGGAAGUAUUUG